RNAcentral lists this ribosomal RNA (242 nucleotides) under uncultured bacterium. RNAcentral describes it as "partial 16S ribosomal RNA". It matches the Rfam family "Bacterial small subunit ribosomal RNA", at positions 118 to 353 of the family's 1533-position model. The record is from RNAcentral.
UAGGUAACCUGCCCAUGUGCCCGGGAUAACUUCUGGAAACGGAUGCUAAAACCGGAUAGGUAGCAGACAAGCAUUUGACUGCUAUUAAAGUGGCUAAGGCCAUGAACAUGGAUGGACCUGCGGUGCAUUAGCUAGUUGGUGAGGUAACGGCCCACCAAGGCGACGAUGCAUAGCCGGCCUGAGAGAGUGAACGGCCACAUUGGGACUGAGACUCGGCCCAAACUCCUACGGGAGGCAGCAUG